AUAUUUUAUAAUAGUGAUUUUAUAAUUAAAAAAAAAGAGAAUUUGUGCAGAAUUUGAAUGCUUCUCAGUAAAUCUGCAGCAACCUUAUCAUUGUGCAGCGAAUUCAAAUGCUUCUCAUUGGAUCUUGCAGCUCUGUUGCAUCUGUGUCGCGAAAUCAACUCUACAAGUUUGUUUGUGUCACGGUCCGAGCUGAGAAAUGGUCUGUUGCAUUUGAGAAACAUCAAAUGGCAAACGAAAUGAAAGCGAAACUAAACUGCGCUGUUUCAGCUGCGCAGCUUUUUGAUGUUUCUCAAAUGCAACACAAAUGGCAGCGCUUAUGAGUUGGAUACCUCGGUGGUUGCACCAGUGCGACUACUCACAAAAAUUAGUCGCAUCGGCAGAAAAAAUGGUCGCAAAAUGCCCUGAUAUGUGUGUGUUCUAUGUAUAUUUAUUAUGUAUAUAUAAAUACACACACAUACAGUAUAUACGAUUAAUCGCGAUUUGACAGCACUAAUAAAUAUAUAUUUAAUUUUGGUUUACCUUAGAUUUAUUCUGUGGGCCUAACACCGUGUCUUGUGAUGAAUUCUGUGGUUCCUGAUUCUGAUUUCUGUGAAGUUAAAGUUUUUUUGUUUUAGGAAAUGAGACAUGCUGUUUGCCUUCACUGGUUUCUGCUUCCUCACUUUUAUUUUGUUUCUCAGAUGCUGUAUUCUUCUGGCCUGUACAAGCAGACUGCGGCUUCUGACUGUGUUCAACCUUCACUGAAGAAUCGCCACUGGAAUCGUGAUUCUUCUAAAUAAACAAACAUAAAUGCUCAUCAAAUACAGUGACUCCAUGUUUGGGAUUUCCAGUACCAAUCCAACAUAUUGGUCCAGUUAACCAAUCAACUAUGGCCUAUCUGAGAUUGUUAUGUGUUAGCUAAUAAAACAUGUCUGCCUGCCCUGCCCUAAGCUUUAGCUCUGUCUAAUUCCAGCUCUCAAAUUUAGAGAGUAGGUAAAAUUUAUUAUUUGUUUCACUUUAUUUAACAAUAAAUUUAUCAUUUCUACAUAAAUAUAUAUUUAAUUUUUGUUCACCUUAGGUUUAUUCUGUGGGCCAAACACCAUGUCCUGUGUUGAAUUCUGCGGUUUCUGAUUUUGAUUUCUGUAAAGUUUAUUCUGUGGGCCAAACACCAUGUCCUGUGUUGAAUUCUGCGGUUUCUGAUUUUGAUUUCUGUAAAGUUAAAGUAUGUUUUGACAUUUCAAUUAAAAUGACAUGAGAAACCUAGUUUAAAAAACAAGAAGCAUUUAUCAAAAUACGUAAAAAGAUUUGCAUACUUUUUCGUUGUAGGAAAUGAGACAUGCUGUUUGCCUUCACUGGUUUCUGCUUCCUCACUUUUAUUUUGUUUUUCAGAUGCUGUAUUCUUCUGGCCGGUACAUGCAGACUGCAGCUUCUGACUCUGCUCAACCUUCACUGGUAAAUCUCCACUGGAGCUGUGGUUGUUCAGUGCUCCCACAACAUGAUCAUCGGUCUCUCUUUGAUUUCCUGUGCUGCUCUUUAUGUUUGCAUUCCGGUCCAUAUCACCAUCUCGAUCUAGAGUAGUUUGUUUUCUUUUAGACACACUCUUUUGUCCUUUAUUUUCAGAUUUUUCUUUAUCUUCUUCAUCUUUCUGAUUUACUUCCAUGGUCACUGCUGGAGAAGCUUUGUCAGUGCUAAUGCUGAUCAGCUCUUGGGUCAACUGCAACUUAGAUGUUUCUGUCGUUUCAGGUGCUACACAUCUCUCUUUGCUACUAUUAGGCUGCUCAUCAGACUGACUUAAAGCAGCAUCUAUGGGUAAAGCCGAGACAGCAUGCUGUUUUAGCUCAGCAGUUUCAGUUUCUGGUAGGCUCAGAUGAGAGGAUGAUUCAGCCGGUUUAGGCAUGUCAUCUACAGUGCAGUAAGAGCCAUCACUGUCAGAAGAUUGGUCUUCCUCCAUUUUCUUUUCUUUUUCAGUCAGCGAUAUAUCAGAGAGAUCUGAGGUCAGAGAUGAAGGGCCCUCUGCACCACCUGCUUUUUUCUUCUUCUUUCUUUUCUGUAUAAGCACGAUGAGAAAAAAAAUUUGCAUUAUAAAUUACAACAGAAUUUCAAAAUAAGUAUUACACAUAAAAAUAUAUAUAUAAUUUUUUUAUGUGAAAUAUAUAUAUAUAUAUAUAUAUAUAUAUAUAUAUAUA
This is a long non-coding RNA of Cyprinus carpio carpio, 2162 nucleotides long. The record is from Ensembl. Lineage: Eukaryota; Metazoa; Chordata; Actinopteri; Cypriniformes; Cyprinidae.